GUUCGUAAUUGGGUUCUCGAUUGCUGGAUGCAUCGAGAUUUAAAGCUCCGGCGCCUAAGGAUGGGUCUGCGGCCUAUCAGGUAGUAGUGGGUGUAGCGUACCUACUAGCCUACGACGGGUACGGGUUGUGAGAGCAAGAGCCCGGAGAUGGAUUCUGAGACACGAAUCCAGGCCCUACGGGGUGCAGCAGGCGCGAAAACUUUACAAUGCUGGCAACAGCGAUAAGGGAACCUCGAGUGCCAGGUUACAAAUCUGGCUGUCGAGAUGCCUAAAAAGCAUUUCAUAGCAAGGGCCGGGCAAGACCGGUGCCAGCCGCCGCGGUAACACCGGCGGCUCGAGUGGUAACCGUUAUUAUUGGGUCUAAAGGGUCUGUAGCCGGCCGGAUAAGUCUCUUGAGAAAUCUGGCAGCUUAACUGUCAGGCUUUCAGGAGAUACUGUCUGGCUCGAGGCCGGGAGAGGUGAGAGGUACUUCAGGGGUAGGGGUGAAAUCUUGUAAUCCUUGAAGGACCACCAGUGGCGAAGGCGUCUCACCAGAACGGACCUGACGGCAAGGGACGAAAGCUAGGGGCACGAACCGGAUUAGAUACCCGGGUAGUCCUAGCCGUAAACGAUACUCGCUAGGUGUCGGCCACGGUGCGACCGUUGUCGGU
Molecule: ribosomal RNA, 650 nt
Filed under: uncultured archaeon
Lineage: Archaea
Description: bacterial SSU rRNA
Rfam family: Archaeal small subunit ribosomal RNA
Source: RNAcentral